ACUGGAGUUUUGAUCCUGGCUCAGAUUGAACGCUGGCGGAAUGCUUUACACAUGCAAGUCGAACGGUAGAGGGGGCAACCCCGUUGUAGAGUGGCGAACGGGUGAGGUAAGUAGUAUCGGAACGUGCCCAGUCGUGGGGGAUAACGUAGCGAAAGUUACGCUAAUACCGCAUACGAUCUAAGGAUGAAAGCGGGGGACUCGCAAGAGCCUCGCGCGAUUGGAGCGGCCGAUAUCAGAUUAGGUAGUUGGUGGGGUAAAGGCUCACCAAGCCAACGAUCUGUAGCUGGUCUGAGAGGACGACCAGCCACACUGGAACUGAGACACGGUCCAGACUCCUACGGGAGGCAGCAGUGGGGAAUUUUUGGACAAUGGACGCAAGUCUGAUCCAGCCCAUUCCCGCGUGCAGGAUGAA
This 412-nucleotide ribosomal RNA is filed under the name uncultured Limnohabitans sp. RNAcentral's name for it is "bacterial SSU rRNA". It matches the Rfam family "Bacterial small subunit ribosomal RNA", at positions 1 to 412 of the family's 1533-position model. Lineage: Bacteria; Pseudomonadati; Pseudomonadota; Betaproteobacteria; Burkholderiales; Comamonadaceae. The record is from RNAcentral.